This is a long non-coding RNA of Onychostoma macrolepis, 755 nucleotides long. RefSeq lists it as uncharacterized. Lineage: Eukaryota; Metazoa; Chordata; Actinopteri; Cypriniformes; Cyprinidae. The record is from RefSeq and is a predicted model, not a curated record. The transcript is spliced from 4 exons.
GCUAGUUUAAUCCUCAAAUAGAUCUGAUACUUUAGUUUCAACAAAUCUUUAAUAAACAAAUGGUUCACUUUUUUUAGGUCCUGACUGCCACCAGUUGAGUCAAUGAUUCAGUGGAGAGACAAUCUGGGCAGCAGCAACAAGACAACUAUUAUGAGUAGAGAGGGGUUUCAAGAUCCAGGUGCAAGGUGCAAUAAGAUGCAAGGAUCCAGGAUCAAGAGAUCAUUCAUCAAGAAGACUGUUCAAUAGGAAGCAGCGAAUCCUUGGUGAAAAACUAAACCUGGUUGUUUCAGCAUCACUCAGGCAAGACAAAAUACAUUUAAAUUGAUUUCAGUUGGUUAUAUGUUUCAGAUCAUCCUGACCAUUCUGUUGUCCUGGAUUUGAAGACAUGCUGGAACUGCAUUUCUCAUGGCUGAAAGGUUUGUGCAGCGGUAUCCAGACAUAUAAGCACCCUUCCUGGACCCACACGACUAAAGGCUCUGGAGGAGAGACAGAUUCAAGGGAAAGAUGAAAAAUAAGUAAGUCUGGGAACGACUGAAGAAGACCGCAGCGAGGGAAGGAAGUAAUCAUCACAAUCUGCCAGAGAAGGAUAUUGACAGUGCAGGCUCAGGACGGCGAAGAGAAGGAAGAACACCUUUAACAUAAUUUUCUCAUACCUUUUGUCAUGUGUUAUAAUAAAAACAAUAAACCUGACUACAAUAAUAUGGUAAAUUUUAUUAAAAGAUUCCAGUUUGCAAGGAAUCUGGAGUCUCCGACUC